Molecule: ribosomal RNA, 406 nt
Filed under: uncultured bacterium
Lineage: Bacteria
Description: partial 16S ribosomal RNA
Rfam family: Bacterial small subunit ribosomal RNA
Source: RNAcentral
AUUGAACGCUGGCGGCAGGCCUAACACAUGCAAGUCGAGCGAGAGGCGGACGGGAGAGAAAUGUAGGGGGAUCUGCCCGAGAGAGGGGGAUAACUACUGGAAACGGUGGCUAAAACAGCAUACUCACGGAUGAACCCAUAGGGGAAUAGCUAGUAGGUGGGGUAAAGGCUCACCUAGGAGACGACCACUAGGUGGUCUGAGAGGAUGAUCAGCCACACUGGAACUGAGACACGGCCCAGACUCCUACGGGAGGCAGCAGUGGGGAAUAUUGCACAAUGGGCGAAAGCCUGAGGCAGCCAGGCCGCGUGUAUGAUGAAGGCCUUCGGUGUGUAAAGUACUUUCAGCUGGGAGGCGUUACCCGCAGAAGAAGCACCGGCUAACUCCGUGCCAGCAGCCGCGGUAAUAC